RNAcentral lists this ribosomal RNA (546 nucleotides) under uncultured bacterium. RNAcentral describes it as "partial 16S ribosomal RNA". It matches the Rfam family "Bacterial small subunit ribosomal RNA", at positions 355 to 893 of the family's 1533-position model. The record is from RNAcentral.
UAGGGAAUCUUCGGCAAUGGGGGCAACCCUGACCGAGCAACGCCGCGUGAGUGAAGAAGGUUUUCGGAUCGUAAAGCUCUGUUGUAAGUCAAGAACGGGUGUGAGAGUGGAAAGUUCACACUGUGACGGUAGCUUACCAGAAAGGGACGGCUAACUACGUGCCAGCAGCCGCGGUAAUACGUAGGUCCCGAGCGUUGUCCGGAUUUAUUGGGCGUAAAGCGAGCGCAGGCGGUUUGAUAAGUCUGAAGUUAAAGGCUGUGGCUCAACCAUAGUUCGCUUUGGAAACUGUCAAACUUGAGUGCAGAAGGGGAGAGUGAAUUCCAUGUGUAGCGGUGAAAUGCGUAGAUAUAUGGAGGAACACCGGUGGCGAAAGCGGCUCUCUGGUCUGUAACUGACGCUGAGGCUCGAAAGCGUGGGGAGCGAACAGGAUUAGAUACCCUGGUAGUCCACGCCGUAAACGAUGAGUGCUAGGUGUUGGAUCCUUUCCGGGAUUCAGUGCCGCAGCUAACGCAUUAAGCACUCCGCCUGGGGAGUACGACCGCAAGG